Molecule: non-coding RNA, 78 nt
Filed under: Wolbachia endosymbiont of Armadillidium vulgare
Lineage: Bacteria; Pseudomonadati; Pseudomonadota; Alphaproteobacteria; Rickettsiales; Anaplasmataceae
Source: RNAcentral
AGAAGCCGGAUGAUGGGUAAACUAUCAAGUCCGGUUUUGAAGUCGAGUGAAGAAGGGCAACCUUCUCACUUAGAUAAC